UGCAUCCCUUAUUAUUAAUAGGUUAAUUGCAAACAUCUCCCUAUAAAUAUAGCAGAUUGCAAAUAUUUUUCUACAAAGUUUAACUUUCUUACGUUAUUUCUACAAAUAUCAUAAUAUUUUCAAACACAUGCGGUUAAGAUCUGUUAGAAAAGUUUAGUUAAUCAUAGAUAAAAUAUUUAACAAUUGUUAGUUAAUGGGGUAAAUUGACAUUUUUACCUCUCUUAAUUAUAUUAUACUUUCCUUUCUCAAUCAAAACUCUAGUAACAGGAACUCUUCUUUUUCUUCGUUUUCUUCUUUUUCAUUAAUACUAGGAACUCGUAACUAGAAUUUCUCCGUUGCCAUUCAUUCACAACGCGUCUUUCUUCGUCCAUGUGGAACGCGUGUUGCCUUUUCAUUCAAUUUUUUUCUAUAAUUUUUUUCUUAUUUUGUUCAAAAGAAAAAGUUUAGGAGAAAAAGAGUGAGAGAAGAGGUUGCAACAAUCGUGAAUUGAGUUGGAUUUUAAAAAGAAAGAAGAUGAGGAAAAAUAUGACCAUUGAAAAUUUUUUUGGGGAUCAUUUCUGCACGAUUAUAGUAGAUAGGGUUUUUGGAGAAACAUAUUUGUAUUGGCAGAAUUAACAUUUCACUUAGCUGCCGUUAAAAAAUAAACAGUUCUCUAACAUUAAUAAAUAAAAAAGACAAAUAUGAAUAUCACUGAAAUUUUAUAAAAAUAAAAUAAAUAUAUUAAACUUUACAAAAAUAUGUUAUUCGUUAUAUUUACAUAUAAAGUUAUAUGCAAUUAACCCUAUUGGUCGUACUAGGUGUGGUCUAUGAAUGAUGUGGUAGACCUGGUCCACUUAAUAAUUUCAUUUCACGACGGCGUUUCCCAUUGUCACCCCCGAGAUGACCGGCUCCGAGCAUCUGCAACCGCUGAUAACCGGUCACCCGAACCUUGUCGGCCUCGGUUCCGCUCCAGUGCCCUCAAAAAUCUAUAUAAGCCUACCUCCCGUCCCCCUUCGUCCGAGGAAAGAGGGAAAAAAAAAAAAAAAAAAAAAACAAAGAGUUACAUGGACUCUACACGUGUCUUAAUUUUGUGUGUGUGUUCGAGGGAACACAACUUUGAACAAUGGAAACCUAGCUAGGUCCANGGAAAAAAAAAAAAAAAAAAAAAAUCAAGAGUUCGAAUCGGGGUCGAUCGAUCGAGAGUCGGCUCCUUCGUCUCCACUCAGAAAUUUACCCCCUUUUGCACCUCUUUUACUCUCCAAUUUCAGCUCGAAAUCGCGAGGUAAUGUCUCCGCCGCUUCAAUUUCCCUUUUUAUAUAGUAAUUUUUCGGGUUUUCUUCUUCGAUUUCGUCUUUGAUCGACCCGAUUGGAGGAAAAGAUUAAUUUAUAGUGAUGAUUUAUGCGGCGAUGGGGUUUUCUUUGCUAUCUCUUGCGAUUAUUGUGAUUUGGGGAUCUUUCUGAUCCGGGCGACUCAGAUUUUUUAUGACCUGUUGUUGUGGGGAUCUUUGAUCGUGCAAAAAAUUAGGGUUUUCUUCCGCGGAGAGCUGAAAAUUAGCGAUCUUUGAGAGGUGUUUAGGGUUUUUGAUCUGGUUCUCUUCUUCAGCAUCUUGCAUUUCCUGGUAAUCGUUGUGGUGAUCGAUUUUAGUUGGCUUCAGUGCGAUCGGGAGCUAAAAAAAGAUUUUUUUUUUUUUUUUCUUUUCUCUUCUAGGGAUCUCAAAAUUAGGGUUUUUUUUUUUUUUUUUUUUUUCCCCAACAUCUUCUUCUUUUUGGCGGCGAUCUUUUCUUAGGUAGGGCUGGCGCUGGAUAGCCGUGCGCAGUCUAGCCGCCAGUCCGGCGCUGCUCCGUCAGCCGCCGCUUCCAAACCCUCCUCCGCCGCCGGCGUCUUCUUCCCAGCCGAUGGCUGGAGCCCGGCCCCACCUGUGAGCUCCAUGUCAGGAGGCAGCGGAGGCCCCUCCGGUCCCGGGGACAUGAACCGGGGCGGCGGGGUCCUCAACAGCACGGCCAACUCCUCUGGGCCCAGCAUCGGCGCCAGCUCCUUGGUCACGGACGCCAACUCCGCACUUUCCGGCGGCGUGGGGGGCCCCCACCUGCAACGGAGCGCCAGCAUCAACACGGACCCCUACAUGCGCCUCCCGGCCUCCCCCAUGUCCUUCUCCUCCAACAACAUAUCGGGCUCCUCGGUCAUGGAUGGCUCCUCCAUCGUGCAGCAGAGCCCUCACCACGAGCAGCUACAGAACCAAGGAGCGUCCAGUGUUACGUCUAACCCUAAAGACAUGCAUGCUCACAAGAAGCAGAGGGUGAUGGAAGUGAAGCAGGAGGAUAUUCUGCAGCAGCAGGUGAUGCAGAAGCUGCUUCAGAGGCAGCAGGACCCGCUGCAGAUGCAGGGUAUUCAGAACCCUCAGCUGCAUUCUAUGAUCUCGCAGCAUAGACUAGCUCAAAGGCAGCUGCAGCAGCCGCAGAUGUUUCCGCAGAUGCAGUGCUCGCCGAUUGCCCAACAACAGAUGAGGCAGCAACUGCUGCCUCACAUCAUGCAGUCGGUCAGCCCUGUAAAACGCCCGGUUAACGGUGGGAUCUGCGCUCGCCGGAUCAUGCAGUACUUGUAUCACCAGCGGCAUCGGCCACAGGUGAGCAUGUAAUUGGAACGGAAGAAACCUUAUCUCUACGAUCUUUUGGCAUGAGCAAGUUGUGACCCUUUCUUAUAUUGCAGGACAAUAAAAUGUCUUACUGGAGAAAGUUUGUUGAAGAGUAUUUUGCUCCACGAGGAAGAAAAAGGUGGUGCUUGUCUUUGUACGAUAAUAUGGGCAACCAAGCCCUGGGUGCCUUCCCACAAACAUCUGUUGUGAGCUUUCUGCAUCUUAACCAUUUUGCUCUAAUUCUAUGAAUAAAAUUUCCUUAUCAAUUUCCCAAUAUUGCAUAGCAGAAACUUAAUUGUAAGCCUCAUAUUCCAUUUUUUUCCAAUCCAUAUCUGUUAAUCUUGGAUAAAGAUUUUCAUGUUUCUUGAGUUUAGCAUCACUGAUUGGUCUCUUAAUUUUGUUCUUUUCCACGUAUUAUUCUUUAUAAUUUAUCUAUUCCUUGUAAUUUUGAAAUAUAAUUUUGCUAUUCCAUAACUCUCUUUUAAAUUUACUUUUCCAUCUGUAAAUUGGUGUGAAGUACCUUUCUGCUACUUUUUUGAUAUGACUAGCCAUCCUUGCAUCAUUGGGUUCAUUUCUUAUUUUCAGUUUCGUUUGUGAACCUCCAUUACUUCUUUACAUUCUUUUGUAGUUUUGCCUUUGAAAUUUCACCAUCUUAUUAUCAGGAAUCUCCACUUUUUAUUAUGUGACUUUUUCAUUCCCUCCACAUUUUAGACACAUGAAUGCUAGCUUUAUAUCUUCUGUUAGCUCUUUAAUUUUUUAUUAAUUUUGUUUAAACAUGUUAUACCUUUUUACAAAGCCUAUUCACUAUGCUAUUGGCCAUUUUUAGAACUAAUGAAAAUUUCACGCAUUUUUCUCCAAGCAAGUGUUUGAAAUCUGAAGCUGUAUUCUAAAAUUCACUCUUUUUUCUAAGCGCAUGUACCAAGCUUGAAAGAACUUCUGUUUCUGUUGUCACCACAAUAAUGGCAUUAUUUUGUUUCCUUGUUUAUUAUUAUAUAUAGCAGUAACUUUUGUGCACAAAAGCAGAUUACUAUCGGAAAAGUAAAUUUAAAUUGUGCUUCAUCUUUUCUUGUGGUUAUUAAAUACAUCUAUUUUACUUUCUACAGGAUGCUUGGCAUUGUGGCAUUUGUGGUUCUAGAUCAGGAAAAGGAUUUGGUUAGUUGAUUCGUUGCUUUUACUUAAUUUUAUUUAUAUAUAUAGAGGAUCUGGUUAAUUGAUUCAUUACUAGUACUUUCUGACGGCUAAAACAUUAUAUUUUGUUAUGCAGAUAUAUUUAAUUGUGUUGUAACUUUGUUAUGCAUGUAUAAUGUUAUAGAUACAGUUGUGUUGUUUACACUUUCUUUUUGCUUGUAUGUAAUUUAUAAUAUCUUGAAGUUUGAGGGCAUUGUUGGCUCAUGAAAAGUUAUUUUCAGAUUAAAGUUGCCUUUCUAGGCAAUGAUUAUAACACCUAUCCUUACCCACUAUUUAUCUAUACUGUAACUGAUCCAAAUUCUACUAUUGAUAUCCAAAUUCUGCUGUGCUGAGACUCCGACAUGAGACUGGCACGCGAGUUCUCACUGACUAUAUGUAAUUCUGUAAGGUCUUUUGGGUUUUGACUCUUUGAUGACUCUUACUGACUAUCACACUGAGUGCUAUAUCUAUCAAAUAUAUACAUGCUACUUAAGUCAACAGUAUGCUAAUGCAUUCUAGAAGAAAAUUUAUCAGUUCUAGUUGGUCUUUUACCUUUUCAUGUCGAUUAUAUAUGGCAUAUGGAUACCCUUUAGGCUACUUAACGUGCAGAUCACUUUUGUUAUGCUCAACUUUGCUUACUUUGUAAUCUGACUUUUGGCUCAUUUUUAUGUGAGUAUUCAGUAUAUCUUCUGGGAAGUUGCUAGUCAUUGAAAUAUGAUUUCUGUUUCUUUUGCUGACAGAGGCUACCUGUGAAACACUUCCUCGGCUUUUUCAAAUUAAAUUUGAUCAUGACGUUAUUGAUGAACAUUUAUUCCUCGACAUGCCAAAUGAAUACAUGUUGUCCGGGUUGCUAGUGUUGGAGUAUGCAAAAGCUGUUCAAGAGAGCAUUCAUGAACACCUACAUGUUGUUCGUGAGGGACAACUUCGAAUUACAUUCACGCCAGAAUUGAAGGUUUUCAUUCUAAUAAUGCUUUAGUACUUUCCCACCUGGCAUUAGUUAGAUUGUCAUGCUGUUCAUUUUACAAAUUUAGCUUUAAGGUGUUCUUGUCAUUUAACACAUAUAUAUAUAUGUCACUCAGAUAUUGUCCUGGGAAUUCUGUGUACGACGCCAUGAAGAGUUCCUCUCUCGGAGGUUUAUAGCUCCUCAGGUAUUGAGAGAAACUUAUAGAAAUAAGAUUUCUUUACUUCCAACUAAUGCAUAUCGCUACUUAACAAACCGUCCCCGCUUAAUAAUAAGAAAAAUUGAAAAAUAAAUAAUACGAAAGAGUAUCAUUUUGCUUUCCACUUCAGCAUCUAUUAAGGUUUCAUUUUCUUUGCAAUUGUUAUUCUUGAAUGCUUUCCAGAAUUGAGUUGCAUUUAGAUGAGGGGGAACAAUAAAGCUGUAAACUUACUAUUGAAAUCUUAAAUUGAAAUUAGAAGAUAUGAUGUCGUUACUCAUCCAUUAUGCUCUUCCUUUUUGUAUUUCAUUUUGUUGUUUGAUUAUAUUAACUUGUUUAUUAUCGAGUUAUUAAAUAUAAGGAUUCAUAUAGUUAAAUUUUAGGGAAAACUUCAAAAACCCCUCCUGUGGUUUCAUAGUUUCUCACUUUGCCCCCCUGUGGUUUAAAAUGUAUCAAUUUGCCCCCCUGUUGUUUCUUUUUUCUCUUUUUCUUAUCAAUUUCAUUAUUUUUUUUUUCUUAAAUUAUUGAUAAAGUUAAAAUUAAAGGGUACUAAAGUGAAUAUUUGAUAAAUCUAGAUGGGUAUCUGAAGUUUUUGUAUAUAAUUUAAUAAAAUAUUAAUGAAAAAGCUACCGAAAAGAUAAAAACGAAACCACAGGGGGGCAAAUUGAUACAUUUUAAACCACAGGGGGGCAAAGUGAGAAACUACGAAACCACAGGGGGGGUUUUUGAAGUUUUCCCUAAAUUUUACUUUCAACAAGUGGAAUUAUUUGAUGCUUAUGUCUUUUGGUAUUUUGAUGAAAGUGGAUUUUAGUGUUGAAUCAAUGAUGGCCUGGUGCUUAUAUUGUGGGUUUCUCACAUAAUAGUAGAGACUUCUCUACUAAACUUCUAUCUUUGCUAUGGUUCACAAAAUGGCUAUUACACAAGUUGGUUCUGGAUAAUCUAAAAAUCAUUUAAUUCCUUGAGAGGCGUGACAAAGGAAAUAUACAUUUAUUAUGCUGAUGUUCCCUUGUUUUUGCGACUUUCUGGUAUUUCAAAGCAAUUAUGAGGUAGAAAAACAAAUCGUUUUUUUUUUUUUUUUUUUUUUUUUUUUUGCAACAAUGAUAUCAUCAUCAUGAGUAGUUAAAGUUUGGCUCUGUGUAUGCUGGUAGUUCGUUAAUCUUCUAAGGUGCCUCUUCUCCUUUUUUUUUUUUUUUGUGUGUGUUGUUUUGAGUGUUUAACAAGUGUAGUUUGCUUUUCAAAAAUAUUCUCAACUUUUAACCCAUGCUCAUAAAUUACUAAAUCUAAUAAAUUUGGUGUUUUGGAUAAAUCAUUACAAUCUUAUUUUAGUAUGUUGCAUGAAGUUAUUCAUUUGUUCCACCUAUGCAUGCUUAUUCCUUUGGAUGUUGUAAUAAGUUUUACAAUUCUUAUGUUUUAUGUGCAGGUGAACCAGCUCUUGCAAGUUAGCCAGAAAUAUCAAAAUGCUGUCAAAGAUAGUGGAUCAGCUGGAAUCUCACCGCAAGAUUUGCAAGCCAGCUGUAACAUGUGAGUAAACUUACGAUUUGUGUUCAGUAUUUUAGAUAUGGGGUGUGAAAAAAGAGAAGGGAUGAGACUUCAAUCCUCUGCGUGCACUAUUGUAUUUGUUUGUUCUCUUUGGUUUUUUUUUGUGCAUUUUUUCUAUUAAUUUCUCUUGUUCCCUCCUUCCCCUUCUAUCUUUAUGAUGGAUCUUUUGCUUUCACUUCUUUAUUCUAAUCUCUUUUUAACUUCUCUUCUUUUUUAUUUUUUUUGUUUCCUUCCUUGUUUACUCAGUUGCUCUUAGACUUAAGUUUCUUUUGCUCGUAUACUUAUUUUAUUAUGUGUUUUUUAAUUUUAUAUUCUUAUCUUUGAUUUUUGAAAUCGAAACCUAUAGUAUCAUUACUGUUCUUUUUUUUUUUUCAACAGAAAAAAGUUUCUUCUUUUCUUUUCUUUUUCUCUCAUGUAAGUUGUUUUAUUUUUUAUGCAUUUAGCCUUUUUUUCUCUUUUUAUUUUUCUUUUGCCUUUUGAGUUUCAUAAUUGUUACUUUAUCUUAUCAUAAUCCCAUAUUCCCAUAAUGCUAGUUGAUGGUGCUUGUUUACCUAAAUUGGUAAAUAUGUUUUUUGUUCUGGAUGAAAAACUAUUUGGGAUUCUAAUUUAUAAUUUUCAUGCCACUUAGUUUUGAGGUGAUUGCUAAAACACGCAGUUUGAGGUAGUAGAGUAAGUUGUAUAAUAAGUUAGGGUGUCAAGGAAUUCUUUUUUGUAUUUCAAAUUGUAUGAUGUAACUAGUCGAUUGAUUUCGAGCAACUGUAUAAGUUCAGGGUAUCAAGGAAUUGCUUUUUUGUAUUUCGUACUGCAUGUUGUAAACUAGUCAAUUCAUUUUGAGCCAACUUAAAUCUCUUUGAUUCUUUUUUAACAGUUUUGCAAAUAAUUCAAGAAAGAAUUGCAGGUAGUAGUAGGCAGCUCGUCAAAUGAGCUUAUCUAGGAAUCUCUAGUGUUUUUAAUUUCCUAAGGAAAUUUUAAAUAUACUUGGAAUUUUGUUGUUAUGCCAGUUGUUUGUUUUGAUUAUCAUAUGUUGAGCCUGAUUUAUUAUAGAAAUGUUUUGCUCUGUUAGUUUCUUCUGUAAAUAGUAUUAUUUUUAUGGUUUGCAUUUCGCAGAAACAUCUUUGGAAUCUAUUUUCAUUUUGUUGUUUAACUUGACUAAGUUGCUUUAAUCUGACAGUCAUUUUUUCUUCAUUACACAGGUUUGUAGCUGCAGGUCGUCAACUUGCUAAAAGUCUCGAACUCCAGUCACUGAAUGAUUUAGGUUUUUCUAAACGAUAUGUACGGUGCUUGCAGGUACUUGAGAUUUCCUUUCUGACUGUUUAGUUCACAUUUUUAUAUUAGACCCAACUGUUAAUAUCACUGAAUUCUAUUAUGCGUAUCGGCAGAUAGCGGAGGUGGUAAAUGGCAUGAAAGACCUGAUUGAUUUUGGCCAGGAGCACAAGAUUGGACCCAUAGGUUUGAAAUCUGCGCUCUUAAUUCCAUUUAUUGUUGUUAAUCCGCAGUUGAUGUGAGAGCUUCUAUUACUGUAAGAUCCUUCAAUAUUUUUAUGAGUUUUAAGAUGUAGUAUGUGAUAUUCAUGCAGUUAUCCACUGCAUAGUGCAUAUGCGGUAUGCAGGCGCAUAUGAGGUCCAACUAUUAAAAUAUUAAAAAAAAUAUUUAUAGGUGCUAGAAAUAUAUAUAAAUAUUUUUUGACAAAGCUAGAUAACUAAAGUAACAAUUCAGAAUUCACAAAUUCAAAUAAUUAAUUUUUAGUAACGGAUACGUACACACUAAAGUAAUAAUGUACCAUUUACUCUUAAUUAUUAAAUAGAGAGAGAAAUAGGAUUUCUAUGCAAAAUCAUAAAAAUGUCAAACAAGAAUCAAUGUUCUAAAAGACGGUAUGCUAAAUUUCUAUAAAGAAUAAUUAAAAUUUUCAAUAAACUGUCUUUCGCGUUAUUUGACAGAUCGACACUUAAAUAAAAAAAAAUGUAUACUAUGAAUCUAUGAUAGAAUCUAACAACUACAAAAUUAUUUAGCAAUAUUUGUAAACAUAAAUAUUAGAUAUAUUAGGAAUAAUAUCUAUUAAAAUAAAAGGAAAGAUAGUUAGGUUAUAUUUAUAUAAAGAUAAUUGAAUUUGUAUGCAUAAUUAUUAAUUUAUAUGAAAACAUCAUAUGUAUUUGUAUAAUCAUUUAGCAAGCAGGCACAUUCAACAUUGCAUUUCAAUUCCACCUUAAAUAAAAAAAAUACUGCCGCAUAUGCGUCUGACUACAUACCAAUGUUCCAAAAUGCGGUCUGCGUUAUUCAUGCGGUUCCCACUGCAGAGCGCAUAUGCAGUAUGCAGGUGCGUAUACGGAUGCAUAUGCAGCCCAGGUGGUAAAUAUUUAAAAAUAUUUAUAGGUAUUAAAAUUAUAUGCAAAUACUUCCUAGCAAAGCAAAAUAAUUGAAGUAAUCAAUCAGAAUUCACAAACUGAAAUAAUCAAUUUCAAGUAAGACCUCGUAUGCACACAUGUACCAUUAAAUUAAUAAUUAGCAAUGUGCUCUUAAUUAUUAAAUAGAGAAAUAAAUAGAACUUUGACGCAAAAUUAUAAAAUUGUCAAAUAAAAAUCAAUAUUCAAAAAAGUAGUAUGCUAAAUUUUUAUGAAGAAUAAUAUUUUUUUCAAUAAGCUAUCAUUCACGUCAUCUGGUAGGCCAAUACUUGAAAAGAAAUAUCCAAUUACAUCUUACAACUACAAAAUUAUCCACUAAUAUUUUUAAAUAUAAUUAUUAUAUAUAUUAGGGACAAUGCCUACUAAAAUAAGAAGAAAGCUAGUUAUAUUAGAACUAGGCUAGAAUACUAUUAAUAGCAGUUGAUGCUACUAAGUUUUCGGUCCUUGGAUAAAGUGAUGUGCGGUUAGGAUGAUAGUGGUCCCUUAGGGUUGAGUGGUUGGUUGGUUGGUUGGUUGAAUUGUAUGAUCUAAUGGGUAUAAAUUAUCAAAAGGGUAGAUCUAACAGCAGAAAAUUUGGUAGCAUCAAGAGUUUGCUGCCAUCGAUAGCAUUGUAGCCAGACUCGUUAUAUUAUACUUAUAAAAAGAUAAUUGUAUAUUUAUGCAUUCUUAUUAACUAAACAUGUCUGAAAAAUAGAUAUUUAUACGGAAUUGGGCUAGAAUACUAUUAAUAGUAUUCGGUUGCUAUCGAGUUUUUAACCCUUGGAUGAAAAUUUGUAGGGUUAGGAUGAUAGCGGUCCCCUAAGGUUUAGUAGUAGUCCCCCUAGGGUUGAGUGAGUGGUUAGUUGAAUAGUAUGAUCUAAAGGAUGAAAUUGAUUAAAGUGUAGAUCUAACGGCUAAAAAAUCGAUAGCAAAAGAGCCCAAAUACUAUUAAUAGUAUUCCAGCUCAACUCUAUUUAUAUGUAUAAUUAUUAAGCAAACAAUACUCUAUUUGUAUGUAUAAUUAUUAAGCAAACAAUCUCAUUCAAUAUUGCCUUUUAAUCCCACCAUAAAAAUAAAAAUGCUGCAUGUGGUCGGCUACCUUUAUGCCACCGUAUAUGUCGCCACCUGCCACAUCUGGGCGGGCAUAUGCGGUCGGACUGCAUAUUAUAUAUGCGGUGUGGUUGUUGGUCCAAACCGCCUAUGCGGCUGCAUAGACUGCUUUUUUGGAACAUCGCAGGAUACUGCACUGCAUAUUACUUGUGUGGUGUGGUUGAUUGUCCGAACUACAUAUGCGGCUGCCUUUUGAAACAAUGCAAACAAGAAACAAUAAAAGUCUGUAGAAAAGCUUGGAGAGUACUUAUUACCUCGUUCGCAAAACCUAGUUUUUAUUUAUCAUGAUAUUUCUUUUUUACAAUCAACGAACCUAUUAGAGCUUAUGUAGGUUCUAGCUUUGUCCCCUCCAUGCUCCUUGAAUUCUGAUUUUGUUUCCCGACUUUUGGACUACUAGUUUUCAGGGCCUCAUUUGGUAUUAUUGCCGUCUCUGGUCUUUUUUAAGCACAAGUUCCAUGCACUAGGGUGUGCAGGUUGAUGUGGACCUUUAACUUAGCAGUAAGUAGUAACUUUUCUUCUUCUUUGUAUUUGACGCUGUUCCCUAUCCUGUUGGGGGUUGCUUUUCGAGAAACAAAAAAAAUCGGCAAUGGUACCAAAUGUAGAUGUAAUUAGCCAUUUUAUCAAGUAUUUCAGAGACGAUUAUUAGUACUUGUUGAAGUACUUGGUAUUGCUAUUCUCCUUAUUAGCUAUACUGUGUUAAUAAUGCGGUUGAAGCAUUAAAAACUAUGCAUCUGCACGCUAAAAAAAACUAUGCAUCUGCACGCUAAAAUCUAUGCAUAUGUACAGUGGAAUAAUUUCACCUUAGGUACUUUCCUGUUUGCUACAGAAUAUGCUCAUUGAUUUCUGAAAUAUUUUGGAUAAGAAAUUGCUUAAUAGAAGUUUUAUGUAUUCUGUAUAAACUAAUUUGUCUUCGUAAGCCUCAUUCAUAGCUCGUCAUCUUGGAGGGAUAGAGGUAUCAAGAAUUAUACUGUCCUCUGCAAAUGGUAAACUUCGCAAGCAUUGUUAUUCACAAGUUUAGGAUAUAGAACCUGUUUAAGUUGUGUAAUUUACAGCUCGUAUGCUCGAGUACAAAUCAAUUUCUGAAGGAAUUCAUUAUAUUUAGCACAAGGACUUACAAAUUGGAUUCUAUUCAUAGUGGCUCUUUCAAUUACUUUCGAAGCAUUUGUAUCUAUUUCCAUCAUCAAGAGGCAGCUAUUUGUUCUUCUAGAUGAAGAAAAGAGGAUUUUUUGCAUUCAAAUGUGUCAUCAUGACUUCUCUUUUUCUUCAUAUUUAUUUCUGUUUUAUUUGUUUUGCAGAGAGCUUGAAGAGCUACACAGCGCAGGCCGCUGCGAAGCUCCAGGCCCAAAAGUUACAGGCAGCAGAGCAGCUGAGGACUCCUAACGGCCUUUCCGCCGACCCGAGCACCCUUAGUAAACUCAUGAGCAUUCACCAUCAUCCAGGAAUGUGCGCACAUAUCAUCAAUGGCAACCUCACAAACACUCAACUCAACAGUAACAACAACACACUGGAACGAACUGCGAUGAUGAACAAUAGCUAUCAGAACUUACUGAGAAACUCUAUGAGCAAAAACCAGAACCUACUUCAUCAGGAACUGCCCAACGGCUUCAAUGGGCCUAUUAACCAAUCACAGCCUGUGAGCCACUACCGCACCUCUGUCUCUCCCGUCUUGUCAAAUAACUUAUUCGGUCAGUUUCCACAGCAGCCUCCUAUGAACAGUGGUAACUUGCCGCAGAACAAUAAUAACAUGCAGCAGCAAGUGAUUCAGCAGAUGCUGCAAGAUGGUAUGAAUAAGAACCGGCCAGAAAUGCAGCAGCCUCCCGCCACCUCUGUUCACAACAAUAACGGACCGGUGAAUGCCGGGCCGGCAAAAAGCACCACGGAGUCGGGGAAUGCUCCGAGCAACAUAAGCAACAGCGCUGUCGGUGCAGGACCUACCAGGAGCAACAGUUUCAAAUCUGCCCCCACAGAGACCGCUGUCGCGGGAAGCAGUGUUAGCUCGAGACUCGAAUUGCCCCAGAAUGUGGAUCUAGCGGAGCUGGAUCAGAUUGUGCGGGAGUUUGGAGAAGGCGGGAUGUUUAGCGGCGACAUAGCUGACUUUGGGUUCGAUUGGAAAGUUUGAAAGGUUUUAUGUAGUUUGGUUUGAGGCUUGGUAAAGAAAAUAUUUGUAUAGAAUAGCUACUAUUUGUACCAGUGGAUCUGAUCUGAUUUGUCUAUUGUAUGGCAAGGUGGUACUCUUCAAGUUGAUCUACGUAGGCAGUUUUGAGAUUUCGCAGUUAAAUAACGUUAGUUUUUACUACAACUAAAAUUGUAUAAUAUCAGGGACUAGGCUUUGAAAUGAGCAUCUAUUAUAUCAAGUAACGUUUCGAGGCGUGAUUCUGCUUUAAUCUCUUCUUCCUAGUUGUCUGCCUUGCCGGAAAAUUCUCUUGAUUGAUUUUGUUUGUCUCUGAAAACUCCCAAACCAAACUUGAGAGAACUCUGUAGGUGGUCUCCGAGUCUAAAUAAAAAAGAAAACUGUGGCAUAUAUUUAAUAUAAUACUAUAUAAUAGUAUUCAAGCCUAGGCAAUGACAGAUUUUUUCUUUUUUUUUUCCUUUUUGAGAGAAAGAUAGUAGUAUGCUUUUUGCUUUGUUUAUUUUUUUUUAAAAAUAAAGUUAGCUGAAAAUAUGAAUCAAUUAGAAUUCGAAUUCGAGACCUCAGCUAUCAAUCACUAAACUCUUUGUCAUUUACACUAGAGUCAGUGCAACCACAGGAAAAUUAAGCUCACAGAAGUAUGGUUGGUGGGGGGUUAACAUUCUUAGUAUUAAGGUUUUUCAUUUUUUGGAUAGCUAGUUAGGAAUAUAUGAGAAUAAGUUCAAAAUUGUGUUUGGUUAAAAACUUCUCUUAUUCUUAAGAAUUAGUUAAUAAAAUAUUUGAUAGAUAUCCCAAAAAUAAUAGAAAAUAAUGAGAAAACUAUAUAUAUAUAGAGAGAGAGAGCUAAACUGGAAUACUAUUUAUAGCAAAAGAUUUUUUUUGCUAUCAAGUUUGUAAUCCUUAGAUGAGAAAUUGUAGGGUUAGAAUGAUAUUAAUCCUUAGGGUUGAGUGAUCCCCACUGGAUUAUAAUAUUUAAUCCAAUGGUGAGAAAUGAUGAAAGCAAUUAACUCAAAGGUUAAAAACUUGAUAACAAAAAAUACUUUUUGCUAUCAAUAGCAUUCUAGCCCAACUAUAUAUAUAUAUAUAUAUAUAUAUAUAGAAUUAAGCUAGAAUACUUUUAAAAGUAUCACCCCAUUGGUGCUUUUAGGUUUCUAGCCCUUGGAUCUACUCCUUGAUUACUAAUAGCCAUUGGAUCAAAUACUAUUCCACCUACGACCACCUACGACCAUCUACCACCAUCAUCACAACCUUACAUUCCUCCAUUCAAUGGUAAAAACUCAAAAGCACCAUCUCAUUGGUGCUUUUGAGAGUAUUCUAGCUCAACUCUCUCUCUCUCUCUCUCUAUAUAUAUAUAUAUAUGAGGCUGGUAUGCUUCUGGAAGGAUGGAGCGCUCCGUGCUUCCAUAUCGUUUUUGAUGUUGGGACUUUUGAAUCGACGAUCAGCUCCGUUAGACUUGAUAUAGAGUAUUUUAAGUAUCUAGAAAAUAAAUUUUGUAAUUUUUUAUAUCAUUCGCCUAAUGAUCGAAGUGGCUCAAAAUCAACGGCUGAAAAUAAAAAUCUUACAAAAUAUGACGAUAUGACAUUAAAAUUUUAGAUCAAAAAUAUUUUUACCCGCUUUGUUUAUUUCAUUUAGAAAUAAACUUAGCUGGAAAUGUGAACCAACUAGGAUUCGAACUUGGGUCUCGGGUAUCAACCACCAACCCCUUUGCCACUUGCUCUAGGGACGGUCGAUUUUAGAUCAAAAUUAUUGAUCUUGUUUUAUAUAGUAUAAAAAAUUUUCUAUCAAAAUUUCACGUGAUUUGAAUAUUUCUACACCGUUAAACUUGCAAAUGGCUCACCAUGGCUAUUAAAAUGAUUGAUUUUGAGCCCCUUCGAUCACUAGGCAAAUGAUAUCGAAAAAUUACAAAAUUUAUUUUCUAGGUUGUCACGACCCGGCGUUGCUAAUUUGGACAGCUCGGGCCCGAAACAGACCCGCUGAACGGACAGAGUUUCUCCUGCCUGCCCAAGGCGUAACAAAGUCUAUGCAUACAUAUCCAAGUAAGAGAUAUUAGUAUCAAACAUUUACGAGAGGCAUAUCGCAUAUGCAAGAGAAUUUAAACUAUCUAUUACAAUAUUUGCACAUUUACAUUGUUUAACUUAUUACAACUUUUCUUUACAUACAAAAUAAUAACCUCACAUACAUACAUAUCACUUUUCUUUCUCAAAAGCUUUUACAUGUUUUUUUCUUUUCUUGCUUGCUAUGCACAAGGGUAGAUGAUCUAGCCCCGAGGUCCCGCUAUCUAGGGCUCGAUGCCCUUGCCGCGAUCCUCGACGAAUGCGCUCGUGCUUGGCUCUGCAAAAUAGGGUAUGAGAACUAAACAAAGUUCCCAGCAGAUUCGGCUGUCGACCCUGCCAAUUUUCUCACUAAGUCUAAGAAGGUAUAGAGACAAGAAUAUGUCACUAUGACAAAGAAAUAAUGAAUAGAAACAAUAAGCCUAACUUGCUCAUCAUAUACAAUUAUAUCAUGCUUCAAUGAUAUCUACUAUGCCUUUACCAAAAACAACAUAUCAAUGUUCUACUAUGUAUGCAUCAUAUAUGAAAUGUCAUUACCAUGCCUUGAUCCAAAUCCAAUCGGUUCGCCCAAGGGUCAAACCACAACUCGCCACACACUAUCACCUCUGUGACCGUCUGUCGGGGGCGCACCGUCGUGACUCUCUUCCCCAUCUCAAUCUAAUUGUGACAUUCCGGAGCUCACGGCUUGGGAGUCGCGACCUCCACAAGCCGCAACAGACAACGCGAGUAUGAUCAAGUCCUCCCGCCCGAGGACCUCGGGAAUCCCACAUCCCAAAUAAUCACAAGGCAUGCAAUGCUCAACAUCGGCCACAUAUGCAAUAAUUUUCAACUCUCAUAGUGUCAUAAAUCUACAUAUCUAGUUCAUAUGAAUCUAGCAUGUUCUCACAACAUAUCCACAUGCGUAUGUCCACUAGCAUCUCAUUCAACAUACAUAUAUACAUCUAUCUCGACAUCAUGCAAAUAAAUACACCUACAAGUAUCAUGCAACAUGAAUCAUCAUUUCUCAUACUAAAGUAUGAAUUUAACAAAAACUCAUAGGUUUACCAACACAAUAUCAAUGCAUGAUGCUACAUGACCAAUAUGUAGAACUUAGACAUAAAAUGAAAUUCGGCUAAUUCGAAUAGCACCCCCCACUUUGAGUCGACGUCACAAAGUGGGAAAGCCAAGCUGUGCGAUUUAUCUUCGUCAAUUUCAUCCGACUGCGGCAAACGAAGCAAAAACGGGGUUUUCUCCAAAUUGACCACCGUAAGCUCAACGAGACUCAAUCUACGUAGUCCACUGCAUCGGUUUUACCUUCAAUUGCGGAAACAUAGGACCAAUUAAGAUCAAAACCCAUUUUAAUCAAAAGCCCUCUUUUGAAACCCUAGAAUGCAAAAUAUCCAAAACUCUCUAUGAUUUAUGCAAUAAUCUAGGUUGGAAUCAUAUAGGGUUUCCAUUUAUCACACUUCUAAGGCUUUACACCAAAACCCUAACUUAAAACCUCCAAAUCUUACAAAACUCACCUCAAACCAAAGCUCUCCUCCAAGCCAAGCUUGCACGAGAGGGUUGCUUCACCUUCCAAGCAACCUCCUCUUCACUUCUUGGAGCAAACCCUAGAGAGGGAGUGAGAGGUUUAGAGAAAGAAAGAGAAGUUUCUCUUAGGUUGUGGUGUGAAGGGAAUGAGAGGAGAAAGGGUCAAGAACCCACUUAUAAACUUUCCCACAAGCAUAAUUACACCUUAGCCCUUCACACAACUGAGUUUGGCUCAACCCAAACUUUGCGUGUUCGGGGUCCGGAUCCUACAGCCAGGGUCCGGACCCCGAGAUCAUUUCCAGCUCAAACAGCUUGGAAUUUUUCCAACUUGUUCUCCAAGGUCCCAAACACUAGUUUAACUAUUUCGAAGCACUCGGAACAUUUAACGAACCUCUCCAAAUCGUCCAUUAUCACACUUCGGUCAAUUUGACUAAAGUUUGGCAUGGCGCACUGGGGAUUCAGUACACUACAUAGGUACUUCAAAUACUCUAGAUCAAGUUUAACGGAGCCGAUCGUCAAUUCGAAAGUCCUAACAUCGAAAACGACUUGGAAGCACGGAAGGCUCUGUGCUUCCAAAAGCAUACCAACUCACUAUAUAUAUAUAUAAACAAUACAAAAUAAAAUAAUAUACUUUAACAGAGUCCGGCUACAAUAUGGGCAAUAGCACCAACCACUUAAUGCUAUCAAGUUUUUCACCGUUAGAUUUACCCCUUUGAUCAUUUUCAUUCGUUAGAUUAUACUAUUCAACCAACCACCCACUAAACCCAAGGGACCAUUAUCAUCCUAACCACACAUCUCUUCGUUCAAGGGCCGAAAACCUAAUAGCUCUAAUAACUUGGUGCUAUUAAUAGUAUUCUAGCCUAAUUCUACUUUAACAUAUUAUACACUAUAAUACAUGCUAUUUUAUUUAUUUCAUAAUAAUAGUAUUACUUCUGGUACUAACAACAACAAUAAUAAUAAAUAUUAUUAUUACUAUUAUUAUUAUUAUUAUAAAAUAUAAAUAUAAGAAAGUAAAAUAAAUAUUAUUUUAUUAUUAAUUAUUUUUAUUUUUAUAUUUAUUUUAUUUAGCUAAGUAUAAGCAUGAUUAUCUCUUUCUCUUUUUUUUUUAAUUAGUUAGAUAUAAGGAUGAAAAUAGCUUUAUUACAUUAAAAAGGUGAAAUAGUUGUUUUCAGGUUAUUCUAGGAUUACCUAUAAUAAUCUGGUUUGACCGGAAUCGCUGUUCUAACCAUUUUUUUAAGGCGUUUGGUAAAAUAACGAGGAUAAAUUUUGUUUUUUCUAGUUUAUUCCCGUACCAAACAUGCAUGAAGGAUGUGGGGGUUGAAAGGAAAAUAGGAACAAGUCAUUUAUUUGAAGGAUGUGGGGGUUGGAAUGGGUAUCUCACUUGGUGUGAGGAAUUGACAUUUUGAUUUUUAUUCCUGAGGAGAAUCAAAUCCCCCAAAAUGAUUUCCAAUAUGGAGUUGGGAACCAGCUUUGAUUCUGAAAGACAUUGAGAAAAUAACUUUUUUUCACCAUCAAUUCUUUAUCUUCAAAAUAUUUAAUCUAUAUUCAACUUUCAAAUUAAUAAAUUCUAAAUAUAAAAUUGAAUUUGAAUGAUGAAUUCAAAAUUUAAUUUUUAAUUACUUAAGUUUAAAUGCAAAUUGUAAUACAAGUUUGAUAUUUUAAAAUUAUUUCUAAAUUCAAACUUUUGACUUUGAACAUGAAUUUGUAUUGUAAAUUUAAAUUUGAAGUUCAAAUUUUGUGAUUCAAAUAUUGAUUACAAGUUUGCAUAGUAGAUUUAAAUUUUAAAUAAAAUUUUGAUUCUUCGAAUUUUAAUUUGAAUAUGAUUCUGAUUCCGAUCCUUCUUGUGAAGCAAACAAAUUAGAGUUUUCAUCGUUCCGUUUUCGAUUUUUGUCCAUUUUCAUUCCUAUUCCUAUUUCGGUUCCUAUUUUCAACCUAAUAUGCGCUUAAUUAAAGUAAUUACUAAAAUCACACACCCAAUUUUCAAACAAGUAGAACAGCUAAUGUCGAAUCGCAUUGCAGGUAGAACAGCUAAUGUAUAGCAAGAAAGGUUUCCGUUAAGAGGUAGUCAGAUAGAAUUUGUAACUAACAAUUCUAUUCAGCAGCGCAAAAGACAUAAGAUUGUAUUUGCAUUUUUAAUGUACGAUAGAUAUGUUUGAUUUGAUGUUAGUAUUUUAUAUAGAAUAUUUGUUAUGGAGAAAACUUUAUCAUGCUUGGCCUUUGUUCGGCGAAAAUUGUUAGGCCGAAUAGUUAAAAGUAUCAAAAAAAGAAAAAACUUUGAAUUUUAUUAUUAUUAUUAUUUUUGAUUAAACAGGGAUGAACCCUAUUUACAGAAGCGUUUAGACGAAAACCGAGUAAUGAUACCCGAGCACACCCCCAUGCACGAUACAGAGAAUAUCCCAAUCUCACCCUCGGCACUAGCUCUAACAAAGCAGAUCCCGAGCACACCCCCAGACAAAAACACAAGCACACUAGCACAAUUAAGCACAACUAGCACACCUAUAACCUAGUUGACAGAGGUAAAGAACACCAUUUUCCAAUAAGAUACAGUUUGAAGAAUGUUUGAACCCAGUGUCUCGCUCGUAGCGGAUUCGACGAUUGUCGAAUAGUCUUCUAUUACGCUCCUUCCAGAUCUCCCAAUAGGCUGCUGCGAUUCCGAGGUCGAGAGUGGUUCGAAUUUCACCUGAGACCGUUUGCCGCAAUCGACGCCAUCGUGUUGCAAGUCCUUCAGUUGUGUUGCUUGCUUCUCCAAUCUAGGUUGAAAGUGAGUCUAUUCGUUAACCAAUCCCACACAGAAACUGCAUAGAAGCAGUAAUGCAUAAUAUGCUCGACGGACUCCGCAUCGGAGUGGCAGAGGGUGCAAAAGACAUAAUAUGCUUCGUUUAUUUCAUUUAGAAAUAAACUUAGCUGGAAAUGUGAAUCAACUAGGAUUCGAACAUGGGCCUCGGGUACCAACCACCAAGCCCUUUGCCACUUUUCUCUUCAGACGUAUUUAUAAUCUCUCAAAUCCAACUUCGAAUCCUACAAAACCUCGGCCAAAUUUCGAAAUGUUCUCUUGCAGUUCUCUUUUUCCCUAUCAUGAAUGACUGAGAUCGUUUGAUGUAACAGUUUAAACUUUUUCCUUCCUUCUGAUUCAAGUUUGUCUAUCUUAUUAAGCAGUAACGGUUCAGGUCAGCUUGCGUCUUAGAAAUCCUGAAUUUUCAUGUCAACAAUGCCCCCCUCAUCGCCUGAAAACGAAUUUUGAACUCGGCAGGAUUCAAAAAACAUACAGAAAUGUUCAAUGUAUAUGUAAAAUAUUUGAUUAUAUAAUUAAAAGUGAAUUAAAAUUUCGAUACUUUUAAUCUAAAACACAUACUUAAAUUUUGAGUUCGUUAAAGCUUGAAAAAUAUAUAGAAAUAUUAUAUAUAUAUACAGAAUUGAGCUCCUAUGCUUUUAAAAGUACAAAGUCAUUGGUGCUUGUACAUUUGUAGCCUUUGGAUUAAGAGGUACGCAGUUAGGAUCGAUGAUAGUGGUCCCCUAGAGUUGAAUGUGUGGUUGGUUGAAUAGUAUAAUCUAACGGAUAGAAAUGAUUAAAGAGAUAAAUCUAACAGUAGAAAAAUUACAAGCACCAAGUGCUUGGUGCUUGUACAAGCACCAUAGCCAGACUCAAUAUAUAUAUAUAUAGAGAGAGAGAGAGAGAGAGAGAGAGAGAGUUCGGCUAGGAUACUAUCGAUGGCACCAAGGGUUUGGUGCUAUCGAGUUUUCCACCGUUAGAUUUAAUUCAUUGAUUAUUUUUACCCGUUAGAUUAUAUUAUUCAACCACCCACCCACUCAUAAGAGCUAAAAAAUUAAUAGCACCAAUAGCUGCUUGGUGCUAUAUAUAUAUAUAUAUAUAUAUAUAUAUAUGAGUAAGGCUACUAUGCUAUCGGAAGCACGGAGUCUUCCGUGCUUCCAGCUCGUUUUCGAUGUUGCGACUUUCGAAUCGUCGAUCGACUCCGUUAAACUUGAUCUAGAGUAUUUAAAGUAGCUAGAAAAUAAAUUAUGCGAUUUUUCGAUAUUAUUUACCUAGUGAAUGAAGGUGCUCAAAAUCAACGGCUGAAAAUAAAAAUCUUACAAAAUGUGAUAAUAUGACAUUAAAAAAUAUCAAAAUCACGUGAAAUUUUGAUAGAAAAUUCUUUAUACUAUAUAAAACAAGAUCAAUAUCUUUGACCUAAAAUUUUAAUGUCAUAUUAUCACAUUUUGUAAGAUUUUUAUUUUAAGCCGUUGAUUUUGAGCACCUUCAUUCACUAGGUAAAUAAUAUCGAAAAAUCGCAUAAUUUAUUUUCUAGCUACUUCAAAUACUCUAGAUCAAGUUUAACGGAGUCGAUCGACGAUUCGAAAGUCGCAACAUCGAAAACGAGCUGGAAGCACGGAAGACUCCGUGCUUCCGAUAGCAUAGUAGCCUUACUCAUAUAUAUAUAUAUAUAUAUAUAUAUAUAUAUAGCACCAAGCAGCUAUUGGUGCUAUUAAUUUUUUAGCUCUUAUGAGUGGGUGGGUGGUUGAAUAAUAUAAUCUAACGGGUAAAAAUAAUCAAUGAAUUAAAUCUAACGGUGGAAAACUCGAUAGCACCAAACCCUUGGUGCCAUCGAUAGUAUCCUAGCCGAACUCUCUCUCUCUCUCUCUCUCUCUCUCUCUAUAUAUAUAUAUAUUGAGUCUGGCUAUGGUGCUUGUACAAGCACCAAGCACUUGGUGCUUGUAAUUUUUCUACUGUUAGAUUUAUCUCUUUAAUCAUUUCUAUCCGUUAGAUUAUACUAUUCAACCAACCACACAUUCAACUCUAGGGGACCACUAUCAUCGAUCCUAACUGCGUACCUCUUAAUCCAAAGGCUACAAAUGUACAAGCACCAAUGACUUUGUACUUUUAAAAGCAUAGGAGCUCAAUUCUGUAUAUAUAUAUAAUAUUUCUAUAUAUUUUUCAAGCUUUAACGAACUCAAAAUUUAAGUAUGUGUUUUAGAUUAAAAGUAUCGAAAUUUUAAUUCACUUUUAAUUAUAUAAUCAAAUAUUUUACAUAUACAUUGAACAUUUCUGUAUGUUUUUUGAAUCCUGCCGAGUUCAAAAUUCGUUUUCAGGCGAUGAGGGGGGCAUUGUUGACAUGAAAAUUCAGGAUUUCUAAGACGCAAGCUGACCUGAACCGUUACUGCUUAAUAAGAUAGACAAACUUGAAUCAGAAGGAAGGAAAAAGUUUAAACUGUUACAUCAAACGAUNAUCAAGUCUAACGGAGCCGAUCGUCGAUUUGGAAGCCGCAUCAUCGAAAACAACUUGGUAGCACGGGAGGCCCCGUGCUACCGAUAAUAUAGCAGCUGGGCUAUAUAUAUAUAUAGUGCAGAGCUACUAUGCUAUCGGAAGUAUAGAGAAUCUGAUGCUUUCAACUUUUUGACCAUUGGAUAAAAAAUUAUACGGUUGGGAUGAUUGCUGGCCCCCCAGGGUUGAGUAAUACCCAUAGGGUUGAGUGGUCCCCAUAGGUUAAUAGUAUUAAUCCAAAGGUUAGAAAUAAUUAAAGGGGUUGAUCUAAGGGCCAAAAAAUCGAAAGCACAAGAUCCUCUAUACUUCCGAUAGCAUAGUAGCUCUACUAUAUAUAUAUAUAGACAGAGAGUGGGCUGGUUUGCUUCUGGAAGUACGGAGCCCUUAGUGCUUCCAAGUUGUUUUCGAUGUUCGGACUUUCGAAUCGACGAUCAGCUCCGUUAGAGUUGAUCUAGAAUAUUUGAAGUACCUAGAAAAUAAAUUUUGUGAUUUUUCGAUAUCAUUUGCUUAGUGAUCGAAGGGGCUCAAAAUUAAUAAUUUUAAUGGCCGUGGUGAGCCGUUUGCAAGUUUAACGGUGUAGAAAUAUCCAAAUCACAUGAAAUUUUGAUAGAAAAUUCUUUAUACCAUAUAAAACAAGAUCAAUAACUUUGAUCUAAAAUUUUAAUGUCAUAUCAUCAUAUUUUGUAAGAUUUUUAUUUUCAACCGUUGAUUUUGAGCCACUAAGAUUUUUAUUUUCAGCCGUUGAUUUUGAGCCACUUCGAUCACUAAGCAAAUGAUGUCGAAAAAUAGCAAAAUUUAUUUUCUUGAUACUUCAAAUACUCUAGAUUAAGUCUAACGGAACCGAUCGUCGAUNUAUAUAUAUAUAUAUAUAUAUAUAUAUAUAGAAUUAGGCUACUAUACUAUCUAUAGUACCGGAGCUCCGGUACUAUAGUCUUGUUUUCGAUCUUAGGAUGUUCAAAUUAAUGAUCCACACCGUUAAAUAUGAUCGAGGAUAUAUAAAGUUUUUAGGUAUAAAAUUUUAGUUUUUUUCGACAUCGUUUACUUAGUAAAUAAAUUAUGUCAAAAUGGACGGUGGAAAUUGAAUAAUAUUUAAAAAUUAAGCAUAGGACUUUUAAAUUCGAGAUCAAGAAUGUUAACCAUAAUCUAGAUAGUUUAAAGUAUUUUCUAUCAAAAUUUGAAGAGAGAAAUUUAGAUUCUUCUACACCCUUAAACUCCAAACUCACCAUAGUAGCCAUUGAAAAUUGACAAUUUUGAAAUGGUUUGAUCAUAAAGUAAACUAUGUCGAAAAAAUAUAAAAUUUUAUCUAAAAAUUUUAAAUACCCUAGAUUAGUUUUAACGGUAUGGAUCGCUGAUUUGAACACCCUAAGAUAAAAAACGGGGCUAUAGUACCGGAGCCCCGGUGCUAUAGAUAGUAUGGGAGACUAGCUCUCUCUCUAUAUAUAUAUAGUAGGGUUACUGUACUCUUAUGAGUAUAGAAUAUUUCAUACUCAUAAGUUGAUUUCGAUGAUGGAGCUCCUGAAUCGACGAUCCACUCCGUUAAAUAUGAUUUAGAGUAUUUGGAACUUCUAGAAAAUAAAUUUCGUAAUUUUUUGAAAUCAUAAUAAAGUCCAUCACGUGGGUAUAAAAUAAACAGUCAAAAUCGAAUGACGUCCUAAAAAUAAAUGAUCGGAUCCUUCAAUUUAAGAUCGGAGUGAUUGAUCUUUAUCUAGGUAGUGAAUAGAAUUUUCUAUCAAAAAUUCAACUGAUUUUGAUUCUUUUGCACCGUUAAACUACCAAGUAUCCCAUACCAAUCGUUACAAAUUAUCAAUUUUGUGGCCUUUUGAUCGUAAGGUAAAUGAUGUCGAAAAAUUAUAAAAUUUGAUUUCUAGAAAUUUUAAAUACUCUAGAUAACGUUUAACGGUGUGGAUCGUCAAUUCGAACGCUCUAUCAUCGAAAACGACUUAUCAGUAUAUAGAGUCCGACUAUACUCUUAUGAGUACGAUCGCGCUCAUUCUCAUAAGUCGUUUUCGAUGAUAGGGCAUUCGAAUCGACGAUCCACACCGUUAAAUGUUAUCUAGAGCAUUUAAAACUUCUAGAAAUCAAAUUUUAUAAUUUUUCGACAUCAUUUACCCUAGAGUCCGGCUACUAUACUCUCAUGGGUACGAUAGCCCUCGUACUCAUAAGUUGUUUUAGAUAAUAGAGCUUCCGAAUUGACGAUCCAUACCGUUAAACAUUAUCUAGAGCAUUUGAAACUUCUAAAAAUCAAAUUUUGUAAUUUUUUGACAUCAUUAACCUACGAUCAAAAGGUCACAAAAUUGACAAUUUUUAACGGCCGGUAUGAGAUAUUUGGUAGUUUAACGAUGUAAAAGAAUCGGAAUCGGUUGAAUUUUUGAUAGAAAAAAUUCUAUUCACUACAUAGAUAAAGAAAAAAUAACUCUGAUCUUAAAUUGAAAGAUCAAAUUAUCCAUUUUUAAGACGUCGUCCGAUUUUGACCGUUCAUUUUAUACCCCGCUUGAUGAACUUUAUUAUGAUUUCGAAAAAUUACGAAAUUUAUUUUCUAGAAGUUUCAAAUACUCUAAAUCAUAUUUAACGGAGUGGAUCGUAGAUUCGGAAGCUCCAUAAUUGAAAACAACUUAUGAGUAUGAAGGGCUCUAUACUCAUAAGAGUAUAGUAGCCCUAUCAUAUAUAUAUAUAUAUAUAUAUAUAUAUAUGAGCUCCUAUGCUUUAAAAGUACCAAGUUACUGGUGCUUGUAGAUUUUUGGCCAUUGAAUUAAGGGAUGUGCGGUUAGGAUGAUGUGGGCCCCCUAAGGUUAAGCGGGUGGUUGGUUGAAUAGUAUAAUUUAACGGUUGAAAAUGAUCAAAAGCGUAGAUCUAACGGUAAAAAAUUUACACAAGUACCAAGUGUUUGGUGCUUGUAAAAGCACCAUAGCCGGACUCUCCCUCUCUCUCUCUCUCUCUCUAUAUAUAUUAUACACUUGAAGUAUCUAGAAAUCAAAUUUUGAAUCUUUUUGACAAAGCAUGAAAUUUAGUUUCUAGGUACUUUAAGUGGUAUAAAUUAUAUUCAACGGUGUCGAUCGUUGAUUUGGAAGCUCCAUUAUCGAAAACAAAUGGGUGGCAACGGAGCCCGUUUGCUAUCGAUAGCAUUCCAACUCAACUCUCUCUCUCUAUCUCUCUAAUAUAUAUAUAUAUAUAUAUAUAGACUCAUAAGAGUAUAGCAGCCCUACUCUAUAUGAGUCCGGCUACUAUACUCUUAUGAGUACGAUCGCCCUCGUACUCAUAAGUUGUUUUCCAUGAUAGAGCUUCCGAAUCGACAAUCCACACCGUUAAACGUUAUUUAGAGCAUUUAAAACUUCUCGAAAUCAAAUUUCAUAAUUUUUCGACAUCAUUUACCUUACGAUCAAAAGCUCACAAAAUUGACAACUUUUAACGGCCGGUAUAGGAUACUUGCUAGUUUAACGGUGGAAAAGAAUCAGAAUAAGUUGAAUUUUUGAUAGAAAAUUUUAUUCACUACCUAAAUAAAGAUCAAUAACUCCGAUCUUAAAUUGAAGGAUCCGAUCAUCCAUUUUUAGGACAUCAUUCGAUUUUGACCGUUCAUUUUAUGCCCACUUGAUGGACUUUAUUAUGAUUUCGAAAAUUACGAAAUUUACUUUCUAGAAGUUUCAAAUACUCUAGAUCAUGUUUAACGGUGUGGAUCGUCGAUUCGGAAGCCCCAACAUCGAAAACAACUUAUGAGUACGAAGGGCUCUAUACUCAUAAGAGUAUAGUAGCCCUACUCUAUAUAUAUAUAUAUAUAUAUAUAUAUAUAUAUAGAGUCCGGCUACUAUACUAUUAUAAGUACGAUCGCCCUCGUACUCAUAAGUUAUUUUUGAUGAUAGAGCUUCCGAAUCGACGAUCCACACUGUUAAACGUUAUCUAGAGCAUUUGAAACAUUUAGAAAUCAAAUUUCAUAAUUUUUCGACAUCAUUUACCUUACGAUCAAAAGCUCACAAAAUUGACAAUUUUUAACGGCCGGUAUAGAAUACUUGCUAGUUUAACGGUGCAAAAGAAUCCGAAUAGGUUGAAUUUUUGAUAGAAAAUUCUAUUCACUGCCUAGAUAAAGAUCAAUAACUCCGAUCUUAAAUUGAAGGAUCCGAUCAUCCAUUUUUAAGACAUCGUUCGAUUUUGACCGUUCAUUUUAUGCCUGCUUGAUGGACUUUUAUUAUGAUUUCGAAAAUUAUGAAUUUUAUUUUCUAGAAGUUUCAAAUACUCUAGAUCAUAUUUAACGGAGUGGAUCGUCGAUUCGGAAGCUCCAUCAUCGAAAAGAACUUAUGAGUACGAAGGGCCUAAUACUCACAAUAGUAUAGUAGCAUAAUUCAUAUAGAGUUCAGCUACUAUACUAUCGAUAGUACUAAGCCCUUUGUACUAUUGAGUUUUCUACCGUUAGAUCUACCCUUUGAUCAUUUCAACCCGUUAGAUUAUACUAUUAAACCAACCACCCACUCAACCCUAAGGGACCACUAUCACAUCCUUUCAUCCAACGGCCAAAAACUCAAUAGUAUCAAAGACUUGGUACUAUUGAUAGUAUAGUAGCAUAAUUCUCUCUCUCUCUCUCUAUAUAUAUAUAGAGAGAGUUGAGCUAGAAUACUAUCGAUAGCAAACGGGCUCCGCUGCCACCCAUUUGUUUUCGAUAAUAGAGCCUCCAAAUCGACGAUCGGCAUCGUUGAACAUGAUCUAUACCACUUGAAGUGUUUAGAAAUCAAAUUUGAAAUCUUUUCGACAUCAUUUGCCUAAUGAUCAAAAGGUUUCAAAUUUUGUAAUUUUAAUGGUCGAUAUGAGGCGUUUUCUCGUUUAACGGUGUAAAGAUAUCCAAAUCAAUUAAAUUUUUAUUAAAAAAUUCUUUAAACUAUUUAAAACAAGAUCUAUACUAUUGAUCUUGAUUACAAGACUCCUAUCAUUAAUUUUUAAAGAAUAUUCAUUUUUAGCCAUUCAUUUUUGUGUCCACUCGAUGGAUAAGAGAACAAUGUUGAAAUUGUAUGAAAUUUGAUUUCUAAACACUUCAAGUGGUAUAGAUCCUGUUCAACGGUGCCGAUCGUCGAUUUGGAGGCUCCAUCAUCGAAAACAAAUGGGUGGCAACGGAGCCCGUUUGCUAUCGAUAGUAUUCUAGCUCAACUCUCUCUCUCUCUCUCUCUCUCUCUCUCUAUAUAUAUAUAUAUAGCAGGACUGCUAUGCUCUUAGGAGCACGGAGGCCUCUAUGCUCUUGAGCCGUUUUUGAUGAUGGAAUUUAUGAAUUGACGAUCGGCUCUGUUAGACUUGAUCUAGCGUAUUUGAAGUUUCUAGAAAAUAAUUUUUUUGAUUUUUUGAUAUCAUUCAUCUAGCAAUUGAAAAAAUUCAAAAUCAUUAAUUUUUAACGGCUGAAAAUAAAAAUUCUAUAAAAAGUGGUGAUAUAGCAUUAAAAUUUUCGAUCAAAAAUAUUGAUCUUGUUGUAGAUAGUAUAAAAAAUUUUGUAUCAAAAUUUCAUCUGAUUUGAAUACUUCUACACCAUUAAACUUGAAAACGACAGAUAUCAACCAUUAAGAAUUUUGUAUCAAAAUUUCAUCUGAUUUGAAUACUUCUACACCAUUAAACUUGAAAACAGCAGAUAUCAACCAUUAAAAAUUAUUAAUUUUGAAUCCUUUCGAUCACUAGGUAAAUGAUAUUAAAAAAUCGCAAAAAUUAUUUUCUAGAAACUUCAUAUACCCUAGAUCAAGUUUAACGGAGCCGAUCGUCGAUUUGAAAAUUCCAUCAUCGAAAACGGCUCAGGAGCACGGAGGCCUCCGUGCUCCUAAGAGUACAGCAGCCCUGCUCUCUCUCUCUCUCUCUCUCUCUCUCUCUCUCUAUAUAUAUAUAUAUAUAUAUGACAAAACAGAGAAAAUGAAAGCAAAAGCCUUAAGGUGGUAGAGGUUCAACCUGCAAUAAUUAGAGUCACUAUUCUAAAAGAGAGGCACACCAACAAAAUAUUUCUAUGCAUUUCCAUGUCUAAAAUCAACAUUACAUUCUCAACAAAUUGCACAUAGAUACAUAAAUUUGUUUCAUCAUAAAUACUCCUAGCAUACAAAACCACAAAGAUUCUGUGAGGAAAAGUAAAAAAAAACAAACAAACAAAAACCAAAAAGUCCUCAACAUCAUCACCCCUUUCACUAUGUAAAAUGAAACAGCACUUACAAAAUGCUGGUAUGCACCUAAUAAUAACUUCCAUUUGUUUGCUGACACUGCAGAUAAGCAGGAGGUAUCUUUUGCUGUUUAAUACCCCUGGGCUGUAUUAAAACAGAGUCGAUGCAGAGACCUCCUUUAGUAUGUGUGCAAUCGAUCUGAGUCAUUGAGAACUUGACGUUUAUCGGAGCAAAAGAAUCUCUUACAGCAAAAUCUCCCACAUGGUAAUAUACCCACAUGCCGGGUUCCUCUAAAUAACACUUGGACUGGGCUUGCUGGCCAUCGGAAGUUGAUAAAUGAAACCACACAGGCUUUAUAUCCCACCCGUGGAUGUGCUCGGGGCUACAAACUCGUCUACCGAGCCGCUUGUAGGCCCGGCCCAGAUGAAGCCGGAAGAAUAAGCUAUAAGUGCCUUCUGGGAAGCCGAAGUCAAUCUCUCCCCUCACUUCGAGCCACCAUAUUUGAUGGAGAUAAGCAACUGUGUGAAAUCUGCACGAAUUUACAAUUUACGGUUUAAGUUUCACAUCAUUUCACAUUUUUACGGAUAAAGGAAAACAACUUCAAAACUGAAGUUCAGUUUGAAGAUAAAAUAACCACUCACUCUCUUCUUGUUCAGUUAAGGAAUUAACUCAGCUCCCUAAUUAGUCUACAGGGCUUAUUUUUUGCAAUAACGAAUUACGAAAUGGAACUGGAUUUUAGCAAGCCAACAAACCUAUUAGUGCAGGUGGAUGUGAACUGCAGAAAUGUAUCAUUGAAUAUGGGCCUAGUUACACUAUCUGCAUUGAACUUAGGGGCGUUCCACUUUCUACAAUGUAGUUAGGGUUGUUUCACUUUCUACAAUGUACUUCUAUUUUUCCCCCACUCCCACUAAAUUUCAGGUUCUAUAGCAAUUUCUGGACUCCAUUUAUAGAUGGCAGAAAUUUAAACUAUUUCUGCUAACUACAGCUUCAAUCUUCAUGCAAGAACUUGCUAAGACUUGAUUUGGAGGAUCCUCAAUCUUAGGAGAUUUUUUGCUUAGCGAAAAAUGGAUAGAAGUAACAAUGAGGAGAGUGUUAAAAGUUCAAAUCCAAAAUUUCUCUUCUUGUAGACUAUAAUGAGGGUUGCCAUGAAAAUAAACCAAAAAAGUUUGCAAAUGUCCAUAUCCUAUAAACUUGGCUUCUUCUAAAUUAUCCUACAAGACCUAUAAGCUUAAACGGCACUCUAUCAGCAUCAGUAGUAAAUUGUACAGAAUCGUCAACUGAGUUUCUUAGAAAGCAAAAUCAUCAUAAAAAGAAUUGCGUCAGGGAUAUACGAGGAACUGAUACUAAGGACUAAAAAGCAUGGUAGUACACCCUUCAUAAAUAUGGUCCCAGGUAGAGACAACAAAAAAAAAAAAUGAUGCAUGUAUUAUGUUUUGUCCAGUUACCAAUGAUCUCUACUCCAAUAUGAAAGAGUAUCUUGAUCUCUUUAACUUCCAAACCUUCCCCAAGCCAUUUAGCAACCGUAAGAAGACUUUAACAAUUAACAAGAAAAAAGCCAUAUACACGGCUAUAAAUUACAUCCACCAAAUCUUUAUGAUAGUUUCCAAGAUAGCAAGAAGAGAAAUAAAUAAAUUAUUUCCCAAGCUAAUAAAAUGAAAAUGAUCUCUCUUAUGGCCGAUAAGAAAAAAAAUUAAGCUAACCAUGUAGUAUCAGACUUGAAAUGACUGAAUAUAUGUGACUCAUAAUGGCCAAACAUUAUUUGACACUUUGAAAUGUAAUUCCUAACUUUGGAAACUUCAAAGGAGUAAAAGUCCUGGUGUCAAUAUGAGCUGUUAUUUUCUAGACGUCUGCACGAGAAAAAUAAACAGCUGCUGCAGCUUUGUCACAUUUACCAAAUGCUGAAGUAUAGAGUGAAUAAUUUUGCAACUGACCAUUUUCUUUUUUCUCGCCAAUACGUAGACGACAAUUUUAUUUAUUUAUUUUUCCCUUGCACAACAAGGGGUGUGGAAAACAUGUACAAGUAUAUGUCAUAAUUUAUAAACAUCACAAAUGUGUAGUACAGAAAAAUUCCUUUAAUGCAGUACACCUUCACUUAUUUUCAUACACAAGGAUGCAAUCAUCAAAACUAAAGCAACUAGAGGACACAUAAAAAAUUGGUACUUGCAAAUAUAUAAUAGCAGUCUGCUACUAACGAUAGUAUGUUGUCCUGAGCUGUUUCAGAAAAUAACUGAGAUGAUGAUAGGUGGUUCAUGAUUGUCAAUCUCAUCAAGUUGUAACUGAUGAUGCGAAUUGGCAAUAUUAUUAAGCAGCGGUUUUGCAAAUGAUUGUGGUUGCCUAUUAUGUUGGCAACAACAAAGGUGGCCAGUAAAUAUGGUGACCAGGACCAGUGAUGGUGGUGGCAGACUGGCAGCAGUCCUUAGUGUCAGUUGUCAGUGGCAGCAGUGGUGGCCUGACGGUCAACUGACACCAACUGGCAGUGGUGCCAAUGGGCACUAGUAUAGGUUAUGGCGGAUGGCAGAGGUCACAACCACCGCGGGUAGCAAACACAAGUGAUGGUUUCAGUGGUGGCCUGAUGGUCAACUGACACCAACUGGCAGUGACGGGCAAUGGGCACUAGUAUAGGUUAUGGCGGGUGGCAGAGGUCACAACCACUGAGGGUAGCAAACACCAGUGAUGGUUUCAGUGAUGAUAUUAGCAAAAAGGGUGCCAGUUGAUGGUGGCACCUAGAUUGGUUGGCGUUCAUAGGUGAGUGAUGGUCAGUCACAAAAGCUGCUUACUUCGAGUCUGAGUCCAGUGGUUGUGAGAUCCCUGGUGUACGGCUGUGGAGGCUUGCCAACAGCUCUGGAGAGUGUCGAGAUAAGUUUGAGUCGCGUUGGCGUGAAAUGCAUGCAAAACAGACCCCCCGCGACGUGAACGUAGCACUUGGCGAGAAAAUCCGCAAAAUUGCAGGUUUUUUGCUUGCUGUACCGGUACAGCCAUCAAGGUGUACCGGUACACUUCAGCUAGCUACACGCGGGCUGCUCUCGGGUUAGCCUCUGUACUGGUACACCGACCCCUCGUACCGGUACACCAGGGUAGGUAAGGGGUGGUUUGGUCUUUUUCCCACUUCAUUCAUAUCACCCUUUCCCUCUCUCUCUAUUUAGGUUUGUGUAGAGCAGAGAGAGGGAGCUUUUUCUUCUUCUCCUCUCUCUCUCUAGCUGGGUUCUUGCGCACGGUGGAGCUCGGGUGGAGUUUGGAUUUCGUCGCCGACGUCGCGCCGCGGAGUCGUUCGAGCACGUGUUUGACGCCGGGGUAGCGCGAGGAGGCUGGGCGAGCGUAGGUUUUCGCCGUUCUUGCUAUCGCACCGGUGCUUGGUGUUGUCGAGGUGGGUAAUUCAGCAUUUCCUUUGUUUUUGGGCAAGUUCUUACUACUUCAACUCGGAAUGAUGUUGUUGCUGAAAUUCAUCGUCGACUGUUAGUAUUUCAGCUCGUACUCGACGUAGGAGCAUCGGAUUUCGACGAGACUUGGUUCGUUGGAUUCGGGACUUCGAGAAGAAUCCACGAAGCCCUUACUUGCCGGAUUUGGUGAAGGUUAGCUUGGUCGAAUCCCUUUUCUACUCUGUUGCUGCGAAAUUCGGACUGAAUUGGUGGAUUUUGAUCGUAGAGCUUGGAGUUAGCUCGAGUGCUAGACUUGGAGGGUUCCAGUUGAUCCAGCAGGGAUCACUUUGGUGCGAGGCUUCGUUCGCUACCAGGAGCUAGCUUCUUGAGGUGGGUUACAUCAGUUUUGACUCCUAAGUUCUAAUCGUCGACAUGUAUAAUUUUGAUUUUGGUAUACUCUAUUCUAGCUCGAAUUCAUGAAUUAUAUUGUAGAUUGCAAAUUUGAAUUUGGAGCAUGUGGUAAUAAGUUGAGUAGUUUAUACAUGUUGGACUUGGAAUUCGACUUAGGAGAAAACCUACGAUUGGGACCCGUCACUUGUUUAAACUGCCUGAUUUAGCUCUAAGAGUCGUUAUAAAAUUGUACUGUCGCAGUAUCUUUGAGACGAGUACUCCGGGUAGUUUAGAAUACAUUUACGCUCGUGCUGGUACGCCGAGUGGAUUUUUACAGAGUCAUUUCGCUGUUUCGGACUUUUGCGCCGUUGGAGUUGACGGUGGGCCCAGUUCGCCGUUUUGGCGUCAGAUUGUGCCGAGGGCACGUUACUUGUUUGUUGUUAGACCAGUUAGAGUCGGUUACUUAAACUUUGGCUUGACAGAGCCUGAUUAAGCUCAACAGAGAUACGCUGCAUACUCGGUUGGGUAGCGCCCACGAGUGCCACUCCGGAGACGGGCUUUGUGCUUUCGCGUUGGUGUCGCUCAUGCCAGUUGGACUUGCUCUCCACGGACCAGUUAGUGUGGAGGUAGCUGGAUAGUCACAACUGGGCAGGGACGGGUGUAUUCACAGUCCCAAGGACGGGUAGGUUUACAGUCCCGAUUGGAUUGGGUCCGAUUUGACAUUUCCUACAGUUGGUUAGUGUAGAGCAUGAUAGUGUAGUGAUUGAUAGCGGUAGAGUUUACUUCCUGCUUUUCCUACUAUCCUGGCUCCCCUCUGUAGACUUAGUGGGUGGACCGAUAUUGUUUGGGCUGCACCCACUGAGGACUACUUGUUUUUACAGUAGUUCUCACGCCCAGUUGUUACCCCUGUUUUGCAGAGCCACAGGUUCCGGCUGCUGCGCCUUCCGCGGAUCAGGAUCGAGGCAAGGGCGUCGCGAGUUAGAGCCCUACCCGAUGUGCUGAGCUAGAGGUGCCCCUACUGCAGGUAGAUUUUUUUUUUCGAGUUUAUGUACAUAGUAGACUUAACUCGCCAGUGCGAGUAGCUCUGUAUUUUGGAUUUGGACUAUGUAUAUGAAACUCAGUUUGUUUAGCUUAUGAUUCUCUAGCAGCUCUCUACUACUGUUCGUAGUAGUGUUGGAUUUACAGGUACAGCUAUCGCUUCGUUUACAGGAAAAAUUUUCUUUGUAUACGACGGAUUUGUCGGCGUGCUCGGGGAACGAGACAUUCGGGGCGUGACAGAUUAACUUGGUAUCAGAACUUUGCUGUAGGUCGUUGGGACCUAAGAAACCUAAGUUUGGCAAACCUUAGGAAGGCAAGACGUGAGAGGCGUAAUUUAUUGCGAAAGUCAAUGAUUAUUUAUUCUAACUCCUAGAGUGGAGUGAGUGACUGAAGGAGUUCCUGUUUUGGCCUGAGAAAUUAUGUUGGCUGCAGACAACAUAAUUUUGGAGGGAAACAGGGUCCGCCUUCCAGACUUUCGUUGAUUGGGUCAAAAGUGUUUGUGUUUCAACUGACCCCGAUCUGUUCUUUUCAGCUAUGUAUCGUCGCCGAGGCCAACCGUCGUUGCGGGAGCGUGCGCAGUUGGCACAGGAUCCUGCUAGAUCUCCCGAGAUGCCCGAGCAGGCAGAGCCGAGUGCACCACCAAAGGAAAGUGUACCCCCUGUUGUAGAGCAGAGGGCCCGACCGGAGGCGAGUGCAUCCCUGGAUUUGAGUGCACAGUUAGCUGCCCUCACAGAGGUGACGAGGUAGCAGGGGGAGAUGUUGCAAAGGUUGUGUGAGAGGGUGGCUCAGACAUCGAGUACAGUACCGAGAGCACCAGAGCAGGCCAUUCCGCCUCCGACUACUCCAAUGGUCGCACCAGCCGUAGCUGUACCCCCACCAGCAAAGUUUCCGGCCGCGCCAGUUGCGCCAGCUAGGGGACCGGUUUAGUUGACAGAGGCCGAGCAGGAGCGGUGGACAGAGAGGUUGGCCCGUUUCCGCCGUUUUGAUCACCGAUUUUCAAUGGCAGUUGCACUGAGGCCUGGAUUGUCGAGGGAUGGGUCAGUGCGAUGGAGAAGUUAUUUGAGGAUUUGUUUAUUCCAGAGGGGGAGCAGGUGUCUUUGGGAGUCCAUUGCUUGGCAGGUGAUGCCCACGUCUGGUGGAGGAGAGUGAGGAGAGAGCAGGGACUGGUGGCAUUGCAGCUGGGAUGGGAUGAGUUCUGUGGAAUGCUGUUUGGGAUGUUCUUUCCCAAUNAAGUGUACCCCCUGUUGUAGAGCAGAGGGCCCGACCGGAGGCGAGUGCAUCCCUGGAUUUGAGUGCACAGUUAGCUGCCCUCACAGAGGUGACGAGGCAGCAGGGGGAGAUGUUGCAGAGGUUGUGUGAGAGGGUGGCUCAGACAUCGAGUACAGUACCGAAAGCACCAGAGCAGGUCAUUCCGCCUCCGACUACUCCAAUGGCCGCACCAGCCGUAGCUGUACCACCCCCAGCGGAGUUUCCGGCCGCGCCAGUUGCGCCAGCUAGGAGACCGGUUCAGUUGACGGAGAUCGAGCAGGAGCAGUGGAUAGAGAGGUUGGCCCGUUUCCGCCGUUUCGAUCCGCCGAUCUUUGAUGGCAGUUGUACUGAGGCUUGAGUUGUUGAGGGCUGGGUCAGUGCGAUGGAGAAGCUAUUCGAGGAUCUUUUCAUCUCUGAGGGGGAGCAGGUGUUUUUGGGAGUCUAUUGUUUGGCAGGUGACGCCCACGCCUGGUGGAGGAGAGUGCGGAGAGAGUAGGGACUGGUAGCAUUACAGCUGAGUUUGGAUGAGUUCUGUGGAAUGCUGUUUGGGAUGUUCUUUCCCAACAGUGUGAAGCAGAAGCUCGAGGAGGAUUUGAGGAGGCUUCAGCAGGGGGAUCGGCCAGUGCAGGAGUACGUUCGAGAGUUUACUCGACUCCUGAACUGCAUGCCAUUUGUGGCCAGAGAUGAGGCCCGCAGGGUUUACAUGUUCGAGCAGGGGCUGAGACCGGAUAUUUUUAGGUUGACUCGGACGCAGAGGUCGAGGACUCUGGAUGCGUCUAUAGAGCAGGCCUUGUAGGUGGUGCGAGGUGAGGCAUCGCUGCAGGAGAGGACUCAGGCCGUAGGGCAGAGUCAGGACAGGAAGCGCCCCUUUCCAGAUGACGGUGGACAGUCGAGCAGCAGACGUCCGCCGAGGCCUCCACAAUCACGUUCUCAGGGUCGUGGGUUUUCGAGACGUCAGCGUUCCAGGGGAUCCCGUCAGCAGGGUCAGACUUAGAGGGCACUGCUGUGUGUGAUCUGCGGGGGACCACACUGGCCCCGGCAGUGCGAGCAGAGAGAGUGCAGGUGCUACGGAUGUGGUCAGCCGGGACACAUGAGGGCAGCUUGUCCCCCAAUAGCGUCUCCAGCACCAUCAACUUCAGCACCACCAGCACCGCAGCAGUCUUACGGAGCAGCACCGAGCUACCGCCAUGAGGACAGAUCGUCUGUGCCGCGGUCGAGUGAGCGGCGACAGCAGGCUCCGAGUGGCAGGGUUUAUACAGCCCGGGUGAAGGACUCUACAGCAGCCGACCGAGUGGUGGCAGGUAUCACUUUGAUUUCUGGCAUUAGAGUUCGCACUCUUUUUGAUACCGGUGCCUCGCAUUCCUUUGUUAGCCGAGCAUUUGCACAGUUACAUGGUCUAGAGUUAGGAGCGUUGUCUCAAGCACGAGAGGUGCAGAUCCCAGACUAUGUUUUGCAGGUUGUGGAGUGUUGUUGGUCAUGCCCGGUGCAGCUAGACUCGUGGAUUAUGCCCGCAGAUUUGUUGGUGUUAGGGCAGCUGCAGGAUUUCGACGUCGUGCUCGGUAUGGAUUGGCUGGCGCGGUACUAUGCUACGAUCGACUGUGGAGCGAGGAUGGUGACGUUCCGCGAGCCAGGCCAUGAGGAGUUUACUUUUAGACGCUGCAGGAGCACGCUGUUUGCCACCUGGAUAUCUUCGGCGAGGGCUCGACAGAUGCUGAAUAGCGGGUGUAUCGCUUUCCUAGCGACAGUUGUGGAGGUACCUACGGCGGCGCCGGGACUCGAGGAUAUCCCAGUAGUCCGCGAGUUUCCGGAUGUAUUUCCCCCUAAGUUGACGUCGUUGCCGCCGGAGAGGGAGAUUGAGUUUGUGAUUGAUGUAGUUCCUAGAACUGCACCAAUCUCGAAGGUACCUUAUCGGAUGGCGCCGGCAGAGCUGAGAGAGCUAAAGGCACAGCUUCAGGAUUUGAUAGAUAGAGGGUUUGUGAGACCCAGUGUUUCGCCUUGGGGAGCGCCAGUGUUGUUUGUGAAGAAAAAGGAUGGUUCACUUAGGCUGUGUAUGGAUUACCGGGAGCUGAAUAAAGUGACCAUCAAGAAUAAGUAUCCCUUGCCUCGUAUUGAUGAUUUGUUUGAUCAGCUGCAGGGAUCUUAUGUCUUCUCGAAGGUUGAUCUCCAGUCAGGUUACCACCAGCUGAGAGUAAGGGCCGAGAAUGUUCCCAAGACAGCUUUUCGGACUCGGUACGGGCAUUAUGAGUUCACGGUGAUGCCUUUUGGAUUGACGAAUGCCCCUACCGCAUUCAUGGAUUUGAUGAACAGAGUGUUCAAGCCGUUCUUAGAUAGAUUUGUGGUAGUCUUCAUCGACGAUAUCCUGAUUUACUCCCGGAGUGAUGCUGAGCAUGAGCACUUGAGGAUUGUGCUACAACUUCUGCGAGAGAAGAAAUUGUAUGCCAAGUUAAAGAAGUGCAAGUUCUGGCUACGGGAGGUUGCUUUCUUGGGCCACGUGAUUUCAGCUAAGGGCGUAGCAAUGGACCCGAAGAAGAUUGAGGCGAUUCGAGAUUGGCCUAGACCGACGACGGUGACUGAGGUACGGAGUUUCCUGAGACUGGCAGGAUAUUACCGUCGGUUUGUGGAAGGCUUUGCGAAGCUUUCCACACCCCUCACACGCUUGACGCGGAAGGGGAUUCGUUUUGUCUGGAGCGACGACUGUCAGAGGAGUUUUGACGAGUUGAGACUGAGGUUGACGUCGGCUCCUAUCCUUGCCCUUCCGGUGAUGGGGGAUGGAUUUGUGAUCUACAGUGAUGCAUCGCACAGUGGACUUGAUUGCGUGCUGAUGCAGUAUGAUAGGGUGAUUGCUUAUGCUUCACGGCAGUUAAAGAAUUAUGAGAAGAAUUACCCUACGCAUGACUUGGAGCUUGCCGCAGUGGUUUUUGCUUUGAAGCUCUGGCGGCAUUACUUGUACGGCGAGCACUGCGAGGUCUUCACCGAUCAUAAAAGUCUCAAGUAUCUGUUCACACAGAGGGAGCUGAACCUGAGGCAGCGCCGGUGGUUAGAGUUACUGAAGGACUAUGACAUUAGUAUUCAGUAUCAUCCCAGCAGGGCGAAUGUUGUGGCAGAUGCGUUGAGCAGGAAGUCAGUGCAGAGCCUGAGUUUGAGGAUCACUGAGCAGAGACCCCUACUCAAGGAGCUACAGCGGCUGGGACUCGAGAUAGUACCCCCUGAGUCUACGGCGAGGCUGACGUCUCUAGUUUUGCAGCCCACUCUGUUGGAUAGGAUCCGAGAGAAACAGAGUGGAGAUCCGUACUUGUUGAGGAUUAGAGCAGCUAGACAGGGGGCAGGCUGAGAGUUUUGCUUUGGACAGUUCGGGAGUACUACGGUACAGGGACCGACUGUGUGUGCCUGUGGAUUCUGAAAUCCGAGCAGACAUUCUGAGAGAGGCUAAUUGUUCUCCUUAUACGGUUCACCCAGGUGGGACCAAGAUGUAUAAGGACUUAAAGGCACAGUUUUGGUGGAAUGGAAUGAAGAGAGACAUUGGCAGAUAUGUGGCUCAGUGUUUGACUUGCCAACAGGUGAAGGCCGAGCAUCAGAUGCCUGCUGGGAAGCUUCAGAAUCUGCCAUUGCCCGAGUAGAAGUGGGAGUACAUCACGAUGGACUUCGUCGUUGGAUUGCCUAGAGCGCAGGGUGGCUACGACGCGAUUUGGGUGAUAAUGGACAGACUGACCAAGUCUGCUCACUUCCUACCAGUUCAGACUACCUGGUCCAGAGAGAGACUCGCGCAGCUAUACUUGGAUGAGAUUGUUAGGCUGCACGGCGUGCCAGUGUCGAUUGUAUCAGACAGAGACCCGAGGUUUGUAUCCCAGUUUUGGAGGAGCCUUCAGACCACCGCCUUGGACACUCAGCUGCAUUUUAGCACGGCGUUCCACCCACAGACAGAUGGUCAGUCAGAGCGGACCAUACAGACUCUAGAGGACAUACUGAGGGCAUGCGUCCUGGAUUUUGGAGGAGGGUGGUAUCGACAUGUGAGACUAGUUGAGUUUACGUACAACAACAGCUAUCAAGCGAGCAUUCGGAUGGCUCCGUUUUAAGCGUUGUAUGGACGCAGAUGUCGAUCCCCUCUGUUUUGGAGUGAUGUGGGUGAGAGGAUGACACUUGGACCGGAGAUCUUACUUGAGGCUGAGGAAAAGAUGAGAGUCGUUCGACAACACCUUUUGACAGCACAGAGCCGACAGAGGAGCUACGCCGAUAUCAGAAGACGAGACUUGGAGUUUCAGGUUGGAGAUCAUGUUUUCCUCAAAGUCUUGUCGUCCAAAGGAAUACGCCGAUUUGGAGUACGUGGAAAGCUUAGUCCACUGUUUGUUGGCCCUUUCGAGGUAUUGGAGCGUCUCGAACCGGUUGCAUACAGGAUAGCUCUACCCCCGCGACUUACUGGCAUCCACGAUGUUUUCCACGUCUCAGCAUUGAGGAGAUACGUUUUCGAUCCCUCUCAUGUGAUUGACUUCACUCCACUUGAGAUUGGCGAGGAUCUGAGAUACGAGGAGCGACCGUUGCGGAUUCUUGCUCGAGAGACAAAAGAAUUGUGCAAUCGGAUCAUCCCGUAUGUGAAAGUGCAGUGGAGUAAUCAUGAUGAGCGGGAGGCGACUUGGGAGUCUGAGACGGUGAUGAAGGAGGCCAAUCGCUAUUUGUUUGAUGCCUGAGCAGAGGUAUGUUUCAGUUUCGAUGACGAAAUUUUUUGUAGAGGGGGAGGAUGUGAGAUCCCUGGUGUACGGCUGUGGAGGCUUGCCGACAGCUCUGGAGAGUGUCGAGACAAGUUUGAGUCGCGUUGGCGUAAAAUGCAUGCAAAACGAACCCCCCGCGACGCGAACGUAGCACUUGGCGAGAAAAUCCGCAAAAUUGCAGGUUUUCUGCUUGCUGUACCGGUACAGCCAUCAAGGUGUACCGGUACACUUCAGCUAGCUACACGCGGGCUGCUCUCGGGUUAGCCUCUAUACCGGUACACCGACCCCUCGUACCGGUACACCAGGGUAGGUAAGGGGUGGUUUGGUCUUUUUCCCACUUCGUUCAUAUCACCCUUUCUCUCUCUCUAGCUAGGUUCUUGCGCACGGUGGAGCUCGGGUGGAGUUCGGAUUUCGUCGCCGACGUCGCGCCGCGGAGUCGUUCGAGCACGUGUUUGACGCCGGGGUAGCGCGAGGAGGCUGGGCGAGCGUAGGUUUUCGCCGUUCUUGCUGUCGCACCGGUGCUUGGUGUUGUCGAGGUGGGUAAUUCAGCAUUUUCUUUGUUUUUGGGCAAGUUCUUACUACUUCAACUCGGAAUGAUGUUGUUGCUGAAAUUCAUCGCCGACUGUUAGUAUUUCAGCUCGUACUCGACGUAGGAGCAUCGGAUUUCGACGAGGCUUGGUUCGUUGGAUUCGGGACUUCGAGAAGAAUCCACGAAGCCCUUACUUGCCGGAUUUGGUGAAGGUUAGCUUGGUCGAAUCCCUUUUCUACUCUGUUGCUGCGAAAUUCGGACCGAAUAGGUGGAUUUUGAUCGUAGAGCUUGGAGUUAGCUCGAGUGCUAGACUUGGAGGGUUCCAGUUGAUCCAGCAGGGAUCACUUUGGUGCGAGGCUUCGUUCGUUGCCAGGAGCUAGCUUCUUGAGGUGAGUUACAUCGGUUUUGACUCCUAAGUUCUAAUCAUCGACAUGUAUAAUUUCGAUUUUGGUAUAGUCUAUUCUAGCUCGAAUUCAUGGAUUAUAUUGUAGAUUGCAAAUCUGAAUUUGGAGCAUGCGGUAAUAAGUUGAGUAGUUUAUACAUGUUGGACUUGGAAUUCGACUUAGGAGAAAACCUGCGAUUGGGACCUGUCACUUGUUUAAACUGCCUGAUUUAGCUCUAGGAGCCGUUAUAAAAUUGUACUGUCGCAGUAUCUUUGAGACGAGUACUCCGGGUAGUUUAGAAUAUAUUUACGCUCGUGCUGGUACGCCGAGUGGAUUUUUACAGAGUCAUUUGGCUGUUUCGGACUUUUGCGCCGUUGGAGUUGACGGUGGGCCCGGUUCGCCGUUUUGGCGUCAGAUUGUGCCGAGGGCACGUUACUUGUUUGUUGUUAGACCAGUUAGAGUCGGUUACUUAAACUUUGGCUUGACAGAGCCUGAUUGAGCUCGACAGAGAUACGCUGCAUACUCGGUUGGGUAGCGCCCACGAAUGCCACUCCGGAGACGGGCUUUGUACUUUCGCGUUGGUGUCGCUCAUGCCGGUUGGACUUACUCUCCAUGGACCAGUUAGUGUAGAGGUAGCUGGAUAGUCGCAACUGGGCAGGGACGGGUGUAUUCACAGUCCCAGGGACGGGUAGGUUUACAGUCCCGAUUGGAUUGGGUCAGAUUUGACAUUUCCUACAGUUGGUUAGUAUAGAGCAUGAUAGUUUGAUUGAUAGCGGUAGAAUUUACUUCCUGCUUUUCCUACUAUCCUGACUUCUCUCUGUAGACUUAGUGGAUGGAUCGAUGUUGUUUGGGCGGCACCCACUGAGGACUACUUGUUUUUACAGUUGUUCUCACGCCCAGUUGUUACCCCUGUUUUGCAGAGCCACAGGUUCCGGCUGCUGCGCCUUCCGCGGAUCAGGAUCGAUGCAAGGGCGUCGCGAGUUAGAGCCCUACCCGACGUGCUGAGCUAGAGGUGCCCCUACUGCAGGUAGAUGUUUUUUUUUCGAGUUUAUGUACAUAGUAGACUUAACUCGCCAGUGCGAGUAGCUCUGUAUUUUGGAUUUGGACUAUGUAUAUGAAACUCAGUUUGUUUAGCUUCUAUUUCUCUAGCAGCUCUCUACUACUGUUCGUAGUAGUGUUGGAUUUACAGGUACAGCUGUCGCUUCGUAUACAGGGAAAAUUCUUUUGUAUACGGCGGAUUUGUCGGCGUGCCCGGGGAACAAGACAUUCGGGGCGUGACAGUGGUGGUGUGGGUGUUGUUUGAAAAUCGUGGCUUAUUGGUCAAUAAUUGUUGAUGGUUGCACUGACCAGCGUUUAGGAUUGUUCUGGUGGCAAAUAGUGAUGGCCGAACUCAGCAGUCACCACCAUCGACAUUGGCAUAUGGACACAUUUGCUAACAGUAGUGAAUGAUGGUGGUGAGAACCUAGUGAUUUGGUGCACGAAGAUGUUUACUAUCAACUGUAGCCAACUAGAGCAGAGGACAAUAGUGUAAGUGGUGUGAACAACUGUAGCAACAAAAGGUUAUUGAUAAGCAUUUUCGGAUCAUACAGAUCUAUGCAUUUAAUUCAUAGAUGUUGGGUUCCUAGCAAUUUGAUUCCUGGAAUCAUAUUCUUUGGGACAUUCUUUCAAUCUGUAAAUAAAAUACAUCACCAACCAGGCGACCAUAGCAAUAAUAUGCUUCAUAAUCUGACUCCUAGGAAUCCAACUCUCUAGUUAACUCAAAAUCUGCGGAGCGCACACAUCAUAAAGUUUGUGGUGGUAUGUAAGCACAAAUUUGAAGUUCAAAGAAAAACUGCAUAGAAAUUCCAAAAAGAAAGAAGUUGUACAAUAAUAAAGUCUUUGAGUAGCUAAAUUCACAUCAAUGAAUUUAAACAGCAACAAUGGUUUUAACAAUUCUACACAGUAAUUUGAACUCAACUGAGAUAUACUUAAGCACCCAUAAGAAAAUAAGAAAAUGACGAGAUUUCACUAACAACACUAUAAUAGCCGAGAGAAACACCUAAACAUUACCAUAAUCAGCAACAAGGAAUCUUCACUUGUUUCCUCGACAUAGCUAAAUAAAAGCAUACUAUUGACAGAUCAAAUACCCAGAGAUAGGCAAAAGAAGAAGAAGAAGAAGAAGAAGAAGCAACUGCAAUUUACUUGACAAACAAUAUAAUACCUUGAUUCUUCAGUUGGGAUGUAAUUCCAGUAUCUCCGAUCAUCGAUUCCCGUAAUCGACAGCGCCUUCGACGAAAUCGACAGGCAAAUACCUCCCCUCUUCUUUUCCAGCCAAAAUUCCUGCACCACAAGCCCAUCAAAAUUCACACCCACCAAUAAAAUAAGAUUAACAGCUAAAACCACGAGAUCAUACACUAGGUUCCCCUAAUUCCAUCACACCUUGGUGCCCCCGUCGAAGGGGUUGCGGCGGCAAAGCCAAGCGUACGUCUCCUUCUUGGUGAGCACCCACUUUGCAGGGCAAUCGUCGCCGCCGAGGGCCACCGCCAUCAAGUAUCCGUAGUUCCUCGGCAGCUUAGCGGCCCAGAUGGCGUCGGCCGACGCCGCCCCGCGGAAGGUGCGGCUGAGGCGCGCCAUCCGGCAGAUCUCCGGCGGGUCGAGGUGGAGCAGCACCUCCGCCACGCAGCUCUCCGGCAGGUCCGCCAUCACCGUCCGGCGGGCCCCCCCGCCCUCGUCCCCUUCCGUCCCCAGCAUGCUCGACGCCCCCGCCCCCAUCCCCGAAACCCUAACCCUAACCCUAGCCCUAGCCCUAGCCCUAGCCCUAGCCCUAGGCGGUGAUCCGGGUGGAGUUUAGCGGCAGUAGAGGGUGAGGGAUUUGGAGGAGUGGGGAGAGGCGGGAGCGCUUGGAUGGGGGGGGUAGGUUAGGGAAGAAGGGGGAGGGGAGGAGGAGCGCCCAUGGAGGGAGCCGGGGGGGAGCGGAGGGGGUGCCGUUGGAGAAGGAGAAGGAGAAAGGGCGGAAUAAAGUUAUUCCGAUCGAGGGGGGAUAAGUGCAAGAGGAUUGAAGAUAAGGGGGGGAAUAAAUGCGCCCGGAUUUGUUCUAAUUUUAGUGGGAGGAAUAAAGAGGAGGACAGGCGGUGGGGGUUGGGCGCAGUACCAGCCGAAAACUGAGAGGGAGGGACUGACAGAGACAGAUAGGGAGAGACAGACAGAGAGGGGAGGACGAGGGGAUAAGUUUUCGAAUCUUGGAUUAGAACAAGCCAAGGUGGCCUUUUUGGAUAGUAAAUAUAUAUAUAUCCAUACAUACAUGCCCGUGCUACGCACAUUUCGUAGAUAAUAUUUUAAUAAAAUUUAAAAUUUAAAUUUAAAUUUAAAUUACUUAAUUUUAUUUAUUAGAAAUAGAUUUAUGUAGUGAUUAUUUUAUGAAAUUGAGAAUUAUUAUAUUUUUCUAGAAAUUUUGCACAGUAGAAGAUAUGUCAAAAUUAAAAAGAUAAGUCGGAAUCACCUCGAUUGGCUCGAUGCAGAUGAUCUGUAGUUGAUCGGGAGUAUUCUAAUACAACGGCUAAUCCGAACAUAACACUACUGUUAUGUUUGGUUCAGGAAAGAUCAUGAAUAAAGUGGGUUAUUCUCACUAUUCUAUCGAAAUAGGAUCCCUUUGCUAUUUCUAAUUAGGAAUUAUUUGAUUUCUUAAAAAAGUGUUGAUAAAAUUUUUUUGUUAAAAAAAAAUCUUAAUGGUUGAAUGAAAAAUGCCAUUAAAUUCAUCAAAGCAGUCAAAAACAGGUAGAUACAAACACUUUAUUUUAAUGGUUGAAUGAAUGUCUAUAGAGUACUAAAUUGUACAAACUUUUAUAAAA
Molecule: long non-coding RNA, 42493 nt
Filed under: Ananas comosus (pineapple)
Lineage: Eukaryota; Viridiplantae; Streptophyta; Magnoliopsida; Poales; Bromeliaceae
Description: long non-coding RNA (ACOM_LNC033554)
Source: RNAcentral